AGAAGGGGGAGGGAGGGAACCUGAGGGGGCACGUUUUUACUCUGGAUUGUGGGAUCACUUAGGAGAGAUCAGGCCUCUCGAAUAGCCUGAAGCUUGUCAACUUCAUUUCCAUUGAAAUAAUAUACUUAAUUUCUGUGUUUUGGUUCUUUCAUCUUGUGAGGUUCUAUCAAAUUGGUAUCAGAGCGUCUCAAUUUUGGGAAGAUGACGUUAAACGACCGAAUGAGCACCUUAGAGGAGAGGUUUGAGGGUGUGCAGCAAGAACUGCAUGAAGGACUGGAAACCAUCAAAGGGGAGAUUCAAAAUGACAUAUCAGGGCUAAAGGAAAAGUUCGAGUUACUGCUGAGUAAGUGGGAAGGGCAGGCGCAUGACGGAAAAGGAAAAGGGGUGGCCGGCAGUUCUAGUAUGGCCGCACCAACUGUAGAAUCACCAUCAAAUUAUGAGGAACCAGAUCAGCCCAAUAAGGACCUGGAGGAUAAAGGGCGAAUGGAUGGUCGUAGCAGGAGGUUAGAAAUGCCAGUCUUCCACGGUGAAAAUCCAGACGGGUGGCUCUUCAAGGCAGAAAGGUAUUUUAGCAUAAACCAUUUCUCGAAUUGGGAGAAAAUCGAAGCGGCGGCCGUGUGUUUUGAAGGGGAGGCGUUGGCAUGGUACCAAUGGGAAGACGGCCGACAAACUUUCCAGAGGUGGGAAGAUCUGAAGGCUGCCCUGCUGUUGCGUUUUCGGCCUUCACAAGAGGGUACGAACCUGGAAAAAUUUCUGGCACUUAGACAAGAAGGGACAGUGAGAGAUUACAGGCGGAUGUUUGAGGUCCUAGCAGCUCCGUUAACCACCGUGCCUGAAGACAUUCUGGAAGGUAACUUCAUUAACGGGUUGAAGCCUUUAAUUCGGGCAGAGGUAAGGCUACUAAAACCUCGUGGGCUGGAUCGUAUUAUGGAGCUGGCCCAGCGCGUAGAGGAUCGCAAUGAACUGGUGAGACAGGCCCAAGGAUCCUACGGCCCGGGUAAAAUGAGGAACACCUCUUACAGCCCAAGUCCGGAUUAUGGCCCGUCUAAGCCCCCUAAUCUAACCCAUUCUGGAAGCCUCUCCCAAAAUCACGUAGCUCAGCUCAACGCGAGACCGAUUCCCUCCAGUCCCCGAAAUCUGAUGGUGGGGAAAGCAGCGUCGUCCUUCAAGAAGCUCUCGGACGUCGAGCUACAGCUAAAGAAAGAACGGGGCUUGUGUUACCGCUGUGAUGAGAAGUUCCAACCGGGGCACAAGUGCCGAAACAAGGAAUUGCACGUCCUUGUCGUACAAGGAGAAGAAGAAGGGGAAGAGCUGGGGAAUGUUCAGGUGCACGAAGGCGAAACAGAGGUAGGAGAAGUGGUGGAACUAUCUAUUAAUUCAGUAGUGGGGUUGAAUGCUCCUAAAUCCAUGAAGUUGAAGGGGACAAUUUGUGGGCACUCAGUGAUUGUUCUCAUUGAUUGUGGAGCUACUCAUAACUUUAUAUCUGUUGAUUUGGCGGCACAAUUGCAGAUUCCGACGGUCCCCACCCAUGGGUAUGGGAUUAUUAUGGGCACCGGUUCAGCCGUUAGAGGAUGUGGGGUUUGUAAGGGUGUGGUAAUUUCCUUGCCAAGCAUUGAAGUUGUUGAUGAUUUCCUGCCUCUGAAGUUGGGAUGCACUGAUGUAAUUUUGGGUAUGAAAUGGCUGGAAACCGUGGGAAAAAUGCAAGUAGACUGGGGUAAUUUGACAAUGAAGAUCAAAGUGGGUGGGCAAGUUGUCACCCUGCAGGGGGAUGUUAGCUUACAGAAAACACAGGUUUCAGUCAAGACCAUGGUCAAGGCUUUUAGGGAGGGUGAUCAGGGAGUCUUAAUUGAGCUGGGGAGUUUGGGGGUGGAAGGAGAAGAAUCAGAUGGGGAAAGUCCCAGCAGUUUUACCGAAUUACUACAGCAAUAUCGAGUGGUCUUUGAGUGGCCGAACACACAUCCCCCGUUACGGUCCAGAGAUCACAGUAUUGUUCUACAAGCAGAAUCUGCCCCCGUGAAUGUUAGGCCCUAUCGUUACCCACAUUUUCAAAAAAAUGAGAUCGAAAGGUUGGUGAAGGAGAUGCUUGUAGCUGGGAUAAUUCAACCGAGUAGCAGCCCAUUUUCCAGUCCUGUUCUGUUAGUAAAGAAAAAAGAUGGCAGUUGGCGAUUUUGCGUAGAUUAUCGGGCGUUGAAUAAGGUUACAGUUCCAGACAGAUUCCCAAUCCCGGUUAUAGAUGAGUUACUGGAUGAGCUUCAUGGGGCAGUUAUAUUUUCGAAGUUAGAUCUGAAAUCAGGUUACCACCAGAUCAGAAUGAAGCCGGACGACAUCCCGAAAACAGCCUUUCGAACACAUGAGGGUCACUACGAAUUUUUGGUGAUGCCGUUUGGACUAAAGAAUGCCCCGGCCACUUUUCAAGGAUUGAUGAAUGAGGUAUUCCAGCCAUACCUCCGGAAGUUUGUCCUAGUUUUCUUUGAUGACAUCCUGAUAUACAGUAAGACGGGGGAGGAACAUAAACAACAUCUGGGGAUUGUUCUACAAUGCCUGCAGCAGCAUCAGCUUUAUGCGAAUGAGAGGAAGUGCACUUUUGGUCAGCCCCGACUGGAAUAUCUUGGCCACAUCAUAUCAGAACAGGGCGUGGCUGCAGAUCAAUCAAAGAUUGAGGCUAUGAUGGGAUGGGUCAGACCUCGCAAUCAGAAGGAGCUCCGUGGUUUCCUGGGGCUCACGGGCUAUUACCGUCGUUUUGUGGCUGGUUAUGCUAAUAUUGCAUGGCCAUUGACAGGAUUGCUUAAAAAAGAUGGGUUCAAAUGGUCUGAAGACGCAGAGAACGCAUUCAGCAAAUUAAAGAAAGCGAUGACGGAAGUACCGGUACUUGCCCUGCCAGACUUUUCGCAGGAGUUUGUGGUCGAAACUGAUGCGUCCGGGCAUGGGUUGGGUGCUGUUCUGAUGCAACACCAGCAUCCGAUCGCUUAUUUUAGCCAAGUGUUGCCUGCAACGGUAAGGCGCAAAUCAGUUUAUGAGAGGGAAUUAAUGGCGAUAGUGUUCGCUAUCAGAAAAUGGAGGCAUUAUUUGUUGGGCAGGCGUUUUGUUGUUAGAACUGAUCAACGCAGCUUGAAGUUUCUUUUGGAGCAGCGCGUAGUUAGUGAAGAGUACCAGAAAUGGCUGACGAAAUUGAUGAGUUUCGAUUUUGAAAUUCAAUACCGUCCCGGGGUUGAGAAUAGGGCAGCGGAUGCACUCUCAAGAAGGGAUCCAGGGUUGCAACUUUUAUCUGUUUCCACCCCCAAGUUGCUGCCAUUAGAGGACAUUAAAAAGGCAGUGUCGGUGGACAACGAACUGAAGGAGAUACUGAAAGAAAUUCAGGCAGAACAUGGGUCCAAACCAGGGUAUUCUCUGAUUGGUGGAAUGUUGUGCUACAAGGGCAGGAUUGUGUUACCCAAGCUAUCUCCGCUAACUGAAGUUAUGAUGCUUGAGUGUCAUCACACGAGAAUAGGAGGGCAUUCGGGGUUCCUUAAAACUUACAAGAGAAUUGCACGGGAAGUUUACUGGACGGGCAUGAAGAAAGAUGUUCAGGACUUUGUAGCACGUUGCCCGGUAUGUCAGCAGAAUAAAUACAUUGCUUUAUCCCCUGGCGGUCUUCUCCAACCACUCCCAAUACCAGAACUGAUAUGGGCAGAUGUCUCCAUGGACUUCAUUGAAGGGUUGCCGAAGGCAGGGGGUGUGGUACUAUAAUGGUCGUGGUGGACAGGUUAAGCAAGUAUGGACAUUUUAUUGGGAUAAAGCAUCCGUUUACUGCCCCUAUUAUUGCUAAUGUUUUUAUCCGCGAGAUUGUCCGUUUGCACGGGGUCCCUCAGUCAAUUGUGUCGGAUCGAGAUAAAAUCUUUAUGAGUAAAUUUUGGGAAGAGCUGUUUAAAGCGCAAGGGACCGUCCUUAAGAGAAGUACAGCUUACCAUCCACAAACGGAUGGCCAAACUGAAGUGGUCAAUCGAUGCUUAGAGACUUAUUUGCGUUGCUUUGCUUCUAGCAAACCACAUUCCUGGAAUCAGUGGCUACCUUGGGCAGAGUUUUGGUAUAACACCUCUUUUCACACAGCGACUAAACAUACCCCCUUUCAGAUUGUAUAUGGCCGGGAGCCGCCUCCAAUUCUUCCUUUUGAAAAGGGUAGUACGGCGGUCUCCACUGUUGAACAACAAUUAUUGGCGAGAGAUGAAGUGCUACAGGUUCUGAAGUUGCAUCUGGCUCGUGCACAACAGCGUAUGAAAUUGGAGGCUGAUGGGCAUCGUCGCGACCUUCAGUUUGAGGUAGGGGAACUGGUAUACCUGAAACUGCGUCCAUACCGUCAAAAAUCUGUGGCUCACCGACUGUCAGCUAAACUGUCUCCAAGAUACUUCGGGCCAUUUGAAAUCGAGGCUAAGGUAGGAUAGGUUGCUUACAAGCUGAAACUUCCCCCUGAGGCUGUCAUUCACCCAGUUUUCCAUGUAUCACAACUUAGAAAGGCGGCAGGGGCCUUACAGCCGGUCCAUCAACUUCCCCCACUGAUGGCUACAGGGAAUCAGUUUAUCGUGGAGCCAGAAUCAGUGCUACAGAUCAGGCCAAAUACCUCCAAUCCUGCUUUGGGUCCUGAAGUGCUAAUCAAGUGGAAGGGUUCACCAGAGUUUGAGGCCACUUGGGAACUUUUUGACAGCAUCCGCCACCAGUUCCCAGCUUUCCACCUUGAGGACAAGGUGGAUUUUAAGGGCGGGGGUAUUGAGAGGCCCCCGAUUCAAUUCACGUAUGCUAGGAGGAAGGCCAGGUUAGCUGCAGGUCCACGUGAGGAGGGAGGGCAGUCUGUUGUAUAGUUCAAUUAGUUAGAAAGUUGUUAGGAGAGGGGUUAAUAAGAAGGGGGAGGGAGGGAACCUGAGGGGGCACGUUUUUACUCUGGAUUGUGGGAUCACUUAGGAGAGAUCAGGCCUCUCGAAUAGCCUGAAGCUUGUCAACUUCAUUUCCAUUGAAAUAAUAUACUUAAUUUCUGUGUUUUGGUUCUUUCAUCUUGUGAGGUUCUAUCAGAAUCCUCACAAUGAGG
RNAcentral lists this long non-coding RNA (5056 nucleotides) under Olea europaea subsp. europaea. Lineage: Eukaryota; Viridiplantae; Streptophyta; Magnoliopsida; Lamiales; Oleaceae. The record is from RNAcentral.